Molecule: ribosomal RNA, 292 nt
Filed under: uncultured bacterium
Lineage: Bacteria
Description: partial 16S ribosomal RNA
Rfam family: Bacterial small subunit ribosomal RNA
Source: RNAcentral
GUGUCAGCCGCCGCGGUAAUACGUAUGGGGCGAGCGUUGUUCGGAGUUAUUGGGCGUAAAGGGCGUGUAGGCGGCCCGAGAAGUCUGGUGUGAAAUCGCAGGGCUCAACCCUGCGGGUGCGCUGGAAACUGACGGGCUCGAGUCCCGGGGGGGAAGCUGGAAUUCCUGGUGUAGGAGUGAAAUCUGUAGAGAUCAGGAAGAACACCGGUGGCGAAGGCGAGCUUCUAUUCGAGGACUGACGCUGAGGCGCGAAAGCGUGGGGAGCAAACAGGAUUAGAAACCCGAGUAGUCC